AGCAGUGUAGCAUAGUGGUUAAGGAGCUGGACUUGCAACCAAAAGGUUGCCGGUUCGAUUUCCCACGGGGUCACUGCUG
Molecule: non-coding RNA, 79 nt
Organism: Megalops atlanticus (tarpon)
Lineage: Eukaryota; Metazoa; Chordata; Actinopteri; Elopiformes; Megalopidae
Source: the annotation of a GenBank genome assembly